Molecule: ribosomal RNA, 255 nt
Filed under: uncultured bacterium
Lineage: Bacteria
Description: partial 16S ribosomal RNA
Rfam family: Bacterial small subunit ribosomal RNA
Source: RNAcentral
GACAGAGGAUGCAAGCGUUAUCCGGAAUGAUUGGGCGUAAAGCGUCUGUAGGUGGCUUUUUAAGUCCGCCGUCAAAUCCCAGGGCUCAACCCUGGACAGGCGGUGGAAACUACCAAGCUGGAGUACGGUAGGGGCAGGAGGGAAUUUCCGAGUGGAGCGGUGAAAUGCGUAGAGAUUGGAAAGAACACCAAUGGCGAAAGCACUUUACUGGGCUAUUACUGACACUGAGAGACGAAAGCUAGGGGAGCAAAUGGG